This 319-nucleotide ribosomal RNA is filed under the name uncultured eukaryote. Its description in RNAcentral is "partial 18S ribosomal RNA". It matches the Rfam family "Eukaryotic small subunit ribosomal RNA", at positions 1470 to 1796 of the family's 1831-position model. The record is from RNAcentral.
CCCUUAGAUGUUCUGGGCAGCACGCGCGCUACAAUGGUCUUCGCAAACGGAUGCAUUCUCGAAGGAGAAUGCCUAUCUUGGAAUCUAUGCCUUGGUCGGGACAGUUGCUUGCAAUUUUUCGACUCGAACCAGGAAUUCCUUGUAAUCGUGAUUCAUCACAUCACGAUGAAUACGUCCCUGCCCUUUGUACACACCGCCCGUCGUUCCUACCGAUCGAAGAGUUAGGUGAAUUGUUUUGAUCGAUAAGAUUUGACUAUGGUCAACUCUCGUUGUGAAAUUCUGUGAAUCUGACUGUUUAGAGGAAGGAAAAGUCGUAACA